CGCAUUAAGAUAAAAUUUACUUUCAAAAUAAUUAACUUACUUCUUUCAUGGAAGCUCUGGUGGAAAUUUAGGGCACAAACUCCGUUCGGGAUACUAAAUCUAGUUAUAGUCAAAAUUAUCAUCCUUGUCAAGUUCAAACUAAGGUGCAAGACUUGUCUGUUUGGAAGAGACUUCUAGCCGUUAGGGAAGCAGCAGAACCACGUAUUUUGGAAACUGAGGCUGGGAAAUAUUUCCUUUUGGUUUGACAGUCGGAGCACUAACUCAUAACUGUUCAACUUAUGAAAGAGGGCAGCUUUGGAUGUAGGUACGCUCAAUACUUUACAGCUUAAUUGUAUGAUCGAAGAUAUAAUAAGAAUUUCUCCUUAUAUUAAAGGCCAUGACAUAAUCUACUGCAAACUAAUUAGCAAUGGAGCCCCUAGUGCUCUAUGUUGGAAGUACUUGGGCAAAGGAUAAAUAUCAAAUCCUUGGACAAAUAAAUAUGGAAGAAAUAUAUGACUUUAAAGGACUCAUUUUUCACAUGGAGAACAUGGCACGACUUAUUGACAUUAGAUAGAAGAGGUGCAAAUUAUGAUGAAAAUUAGCAUAACUUGUAAGUUCCGGUGGCAAAGUAUGAAUUAGUUGAACAAGUGCUAUUAUAUGGCAUUGUUGCUAAGGAAGUAUGGAGGUUCUUUCCAAGGCCUCUAUUAAAUUAAUUUGCAAACAAUCUAUAUGGCCGUGCAGAGUACAAUACCAGUUGGAGGAAAUUCAAUAUUAGCAGAAGAAUGAUAGUUUCAAAGCAAUGCUGUUGCCUUUUGGAGAGAAAGUAAUGGGGUCACUGAUUGGUGGCUAAUACUGAGUAUAAAGAAAGGCAGUUCAAGCUACUGUGCCCUCAAGAGCUAACUGGUUAAAUCAAAAGAAUUUUGCGCCCAGAUAUAAGGGGCUCCCAAGUUUAAGAGUGUAAAUAAUCGCCAAGGACACAAAGGGAGAUUCAAGAUUGCACAAGCACUGGAGCUCAAGGGUGAGGUUGUAGGUUUGUUAGUCUGCUCACUUAAUUCGUUGUUGAAUUUAGUAGUUUAGCUGAUCUAAACUCAUUUGUUCAACUAGGAGGUAAGGUCCACGUCCCCCUCUAUGUAAUAAUCCUUUCUAUCAAUAUCUGGGCAGGAGGGCAACCACUUGGCUUAGUUGAGUCAACCUAAAA
Molecule: long non-coding RNA, 1177 nt
Filed under: Olea europaea (common olive)
Lineage: Eukaryota; Viridiplantae; Streptophyta; Magnoliopsida; Lamiales; Oleaceae
Description: long non-coding RNA (OEUR_LNC007290)
Source: RNAcentral